Molecule: long non-coding RNA, 1638 nt
Organism: Eriocheir sinensis (Chinese mitten crab)
Lineage: Eukaryota; Metazoa; Arthropoda; Malacostraca; Decapoda; Varunidae
Exons: 2
Source: RefSeq, a predicted model, not a curated record
GAGAGAGAGAGAGAGAGAGAGAGAGAGAGAGAGAGAGAGAGAGAGAGAGAGAGAGAGAGAAUACUAAUACAACCAAUUUUUCCUCAACAGACAGACAGAUGACAUCACCACCACAAUCACCACCACCACCACCAGUCAACACCACUUCACCACCACCACCACGCCACCUCCACCUCCUCCUCCUCCUCUUCCUUCUCUCCCACGCCAAUUCUCUCUCCCAUGAAAGUGAGAGAUGGAGAGAAGAGAGGAGAGAAAGGAGGGAGUUGAGUUUCUUCCUCCCUUUCUCUCCCUCCAAGAAUGAGAUAGUGGAGGAAAGAAAUGGAGAGAUGGAGGAGGAGGAGGAGGUGGAGGGAGAGUGGAUACUGGAGGAGGAAUCUGUGACAUCAGGAAAAGAAGAAGAAGAAGAAGAAGAAGAGGAAGAAGGCGAACGCGAAACCAGAAACUCCGUAACAGGAAGACGAGGAGGAGGAGACGAAGAAAGAAGAAGAGGAGGAAGAGGAGGAGGAGGAGGAGGAGGGCAACCAAACCACCACCACCACCUCACAUCCUCAGACACUUGGUGGAAAGCUGUCAACCCGGACGACCCAGCCACGGGAAUCGAACCAACGCUCUGGGACGGGUGGGGGCUUACACUCCACCACCACCAACCACCACCACCACAACCACCACCAGACUACCAUACGCUGCAGACCACGUGGAUAGAAGAGGCAGUGACGUAGAGGAAGAAGGGAGGAGGGAGGCUCUGAGAAUAGUGUUAGAGAGAGAGAGGAGGAGGAGGAGGAGGAAGAUUGAAGAAGCGGAAAGAGAUGAAAUAAGAGGAAAAAAAAGAGGAGAUAGGAAGAGGAAAAAGAGGGAAAAUAUUGAAUUAAGACCCUGAGACAUUUAAGAAUAUUAAGCAUAAAAAAGAAGAAGAGGAGGAAGACAAGGUAAUGAGGGGCAGCUAGCUAAUGAGAGGUAAUUAACUAGGACAGGUAUGUGACUUGUACAGGUAAUAAUCAUGCUUCUGCCAGGUGCUAUAAUGAAGGUUAGGUCAAUUAAGGUUAAGGUAAUGAUGAUGUAAUUACUGACAUUAUUAUUAUUAUUAUUAUUAUUAUUAUUAUUGGGGUAAUUUAUAAGACUUUCAAGCAUUUAAUUGUCCAGUGAUAUUGAAAUGCACACACACACACACACACACACACACACACACACACACACACACACACACACACACACACACACAUACAGACAUACUUACACACGUUUUAAUCUAAAUUGCACUAAAUAACAAUUAAAAAAAAGAGAAAUCAAUGACUACACAUACUAAUAAUAUUUAAAGCAUUUUUCCAAGCAUUUAUAAACAUACAAUUACUAUUAUUAUUAUUAUUAUUGUUAGUAUAGGCCUAUGAACUUUUUAUACUAAUGUUAUCACAGUAUAUAUAUUUUUAGGCCUAUGAACUUUUUAUACUAAGAUUAACACUAUAUAUAUUUUUAGGCCUAUGAACUUUUUAUACUAAUGUUAUCACUAUAUAUAUUUUUAGGCCUAUAAACUUUUUAUACUAAGAUUAACACUGUAUAUAUAUUUUUUUGUACUACUGUUAAGAGGAUUGUGCAAUAUAUAUUUUUCUAUAAGCGAUUAGUAAUAAAAUUUGAUGAAGGAAA